UUUUCCUUUGAACCUGCACUUAAACAUUGGGCUUGUUUGCCUUAAAAAGAUAUGUAUACAAUUUGUGUAUACUGCUGUAUACAUGGCAUAUCCGACCCAUUUGGACCUUUCAAGGCUUGCAUUUUUUGAAACGUUAUCCACUGUACUUUUGACCUGAGUAUUCACAUUUUCUGUACCCAUAUAAUGUAUAUUCUGACUGUAUACCAGUG
RNAcentral lists this unclassified non-coding RNA (209 nucleotides) under Hevea brasiliensis (rubber tree). Lineage: Eukaryota; Viridiplantae; Streptophyta; Magnoliopsida; Malpighiales; Euphorbiaceae. The record is from RNAcentral.